This 89-nucleotide unclassified non-coding RNA is filed under the name Pseudomonas jessenii. The record is from RNAcentral. Lineage: Bacteria; Pseudomonadati; Pseudomonadota; Gammaproteobacteria; Pseudomonadales; Pseudomonadaceae.
UGUGGGAGCGGGCUUGCCCGCGAUAGCAAUCUGUCUGGCACAUCAAUGUUGAAUGUGCCGCCGUCAUCGCGGGCAAGCCCGCUCCCACA